This 291-nucleotide ribosomal RNA is filed under the name Bacillus luti. Its description in RNAcentral is "partial 16S ribosomal RNA". It matches the Rfam family "Bacterial small subunit ribosomal RNA", at positions 1 to 279 of the family's 1533-position model. The record is from RNAcentral. Lineage: Bacteria; Bacillati; Bacillota; Bacilli; Caryophanales; Bacillaceae.
UUUAUUGGAGAGUUUGAUCCUGGCUCAGGAUGAACGCUGGCGGCGUGCCUAAUACAUGCAAGUCGAGCGAAUGGAUUAAGAGCUUGCUCUUAUGAAGUUAGCGGCGGACGGGUGAGUAACACGUGGGUAACCUGCCCAUAAGACUGGGAUAACUCCGGGAAACCGGGGCUAAUACCGGAUAACAUUUUGAACUGCAUGGUUCGAAAUUGAAAGGCGGCUUCGGCUGUCACUUAUGGAUGGACCCGCGUCGCAUUAGCUAGUUGGUGAGGUAACGGCUCACCAAGGCAACGA